UACGAAGGGGGCUAGCGUUGUUCGGAAUUACUGGGCGUAAAGCGCGUGUAGGCGGGUCUUUAAGUCAGGGGUGAAAUGCCAAGGCUCGACCUUGGAACUGCCUUUGAUACUGGGGACCUUGAGUCCGGGAGAGGUGAGUGGAAUUGCGAGUGUAGAGGUGAAAUUCGUAGAUAUUCGCAAGAACACCAGUGGCGAAGGCGGCUCACUGGCCCGGAACUGACGCUGAGAUGCGAAAGCGUGGGGAGCAAACAGG
This 253-nucleotide ribosomal RNA is filed under the name uncultured bacterium. RNAcentral's name for it is "partial 16S ribosomal RNA". It matches the Rfam family "Bacterial small subunit ribosomal RNA", at positions 524 to 776 of the family's 1533-position model. The record is from RNAcentral.